CUCUUGCUCCGCUGACAGGAACAAGAGCCUCUUCCUUGCAUGGCCUCCUGUUCCACUUCUUCCAGAGGCCUGUGAGUGUGAGGAUCGAUCCCCAUGCUACGGAGCUUCUUCUUGAGUGACCAUCUGCAGAUAAUAUGAAACCAUGGAUUAGGAUUUGGAAAUUCAGACUUUUGGACAAAGCAUCUUAGCAUGUGAAUGAGAGAGAUCAAGGAGAAGACAUGAUAAUUCAGUCCAGUGCAAGCCGGCAGAAACUCAAGCAGCUCUCCAUUUUUACCUGUUACCAAGCAGCGAAUGCAACUUAAUGAUGAGCUCGUCCUCCUCCUCGGUGAUGUUUCCUCGUUUGAGAUCAGGCCGGAGGUAAUUGAUCCACCUCAGCCUGCAACUUUUACCACACCGUCUAAGUCCUGUGCAACAAAAAAAAACAUGAGCGUAAGGAUCCUUCGCCGUGUGCGGUAAUAUACUUGAUCAGGAGAGCAUCCUCCUCUCUCGUCCAGGGGCCCCUGUUGAGUCCCACUUUUUCGCAACAUGGAGCCCGCCCCAUC
Selaginella moellendorffii is the source of this 542-nucleotide long non-coding RNA. RefSeq lists it as uncharacterized. The transcript has 4 exons. The record is from RefSeq and is a predicted model, not a curated record. NCBI's taxonomy places the organism in Eukaryota, Viridiplantae, Streptophyta, Lycopodiopsida, Selaginellales, Selaginellaceae.